Molecule: ribosomal RNA, 240 nt
Filed under: uncultured bacterium
Lineage: Bacteria
Description: partial 16S ribosomal RNA
Rfam family: Bacterial small subunit ribosomal RNA
Source: RNAcentral
UGGCCUUGACAUAGUAGAAACUUUCCAGAGAUGGAAAGGUGCCUUCGGGAAUCUACAUACAGGUGCUGCAUGGCUGUCGUCAGCUCGUGUCGUGAGAUGUUGGGUUAAGUCCCGCAACGAGCGCAACCCUUUUCCUUACUUGCCAGCAUUUCGGAUGGGAACUUUAAGGAUACUGCCAGUGACAAACUGGAGGAAGGCGGGGACGACGUCAAGUCAUCAUGGCCCUUACGGCCAGGGCUA